AGAGUUUGAUUCUGGCUCAGGAUGAACGCUGGCGGCGUGCUUAACACAUGCAAGUCGAACGGGGAUAAGGAGGGCUUGCCUUCCUUAUCCAAGUGGCGGACGGGUGAGUAACGCGUGGAUAACCUGGCCCAUACAGGGGGAUAGCAGCUGGAAACGGCUGGUAAUACCGCAUAAGCGCACAGGGGCGCAUGCCCUGGUGUGAAAAACUCCGGUGGUAUGGGAUGGGUCCGCGUCUGAUUAGGCAGUUGGCGGGGUAAAGGCCCACCAAACCGACGAUCAGUAGCCGGCCUGAGAGGGUGGGCGGCCACAUUGGGACUGAGACACGGCCCAAACUCCUACGGGAGGCAGCAGUGGGGAAUAUUGCACAAUGGGGGAAACCCUGAUGCAGCGACGCCGCGUGGGUGAAGGAGUAUUUCGGUAUGUAAAGCCCUAUCAGCAGGGAAGAUAAUGACGGUACCUGACUAAGAAGCCCCGGCUAACUACGUGCCAGCAGCCGCGGUAAUACGUAAGGGGCAAGCGUUAUCCGGAUUUACUGGGUGUAAA
This 543-nucleotide ribosomal RNA is filed under the name uncultured bacterium. RNAcentral's name for it is "bacterial SSU rRNA". It matches the Rfam family "Bacterial small subunit ribosomal RNA", at positions 8 to 564 of the family's 1533-position model. The record is from RNAcentral.